ACUGUUAUCAUUACUCUCGUUGCUUUGGCGGGCCGUUGGGCCCUGCCCGGCCGCCGGCUCCGGCUGGCGCGUGCCCGCCAGAGGCUCCGCAGACUCUGAAUGUUAGUGUCGUCCGAGUAACUAUACAAUCGUUAAAACUUUCAACAACGGAUCUCUUGGUUCUGGCAUCGAUGAAGAACGCAGCGAAAUGCGAUAAGUAAUGCGAAUUGCAGAAUUCAGUGAGUCAUCGAAUCUUUGAACGCACAUUGCGCCCUGUGGUAUUCCGCAGGGCAUGCCUGUUCGAGCGUCAUUUCAACCCUCAAGCCCGGCUUGGUGUUGGGCCCUGCCCGUGGUGGCUGGCCCUAAAGACAGUGGCGGCGCCGCCUGGCCCUCAGCGUAGUACAGCUCUCGCUCCAGGGUCCGGCGGUGGCCUGCCAGAACCCCCAACUCUGUGGUUGACCUCGGAUCAGGCAGGGAUACCCGCUGAACUUAAGC
RNAcentral lists this ribosomal RNA (474 nucleotides) under Oidiodendron cf. maius GPO_LL_02_C5. RNAcentral's name for it is "eukaryotic LSU rRNA". The stretch from base 136 to 289 matches the Rfam family "5.8S ribosomal RNA". The record is from RNAcentral. Lineage: Eukaryota; Fungi; Ascomycota; Leotiomycetes; Myxotrichaceae.